UGGUGUUCUGUGCUAAAAUGUGUUAUCUUUCACCGUUCUACCUACCAGUGAUUCACCCCUAUUCUGAGUUGUGGCUAUCAAGAAUGAUAUGGUGUUCAAAGAUUAUCAGAGGGAUUUUCAGGCAGAACUGAUGGGGAAUCCAUUUUGUCGACAGCAGAGUUUUCGUCGACAUUGCUAGUUUUUUCCUUCACAACAAAAUGGAAGAUUCUCAAUUCAAGGUUGGCGCCCCCCCCCCUUGGGUUGUGCCGUGGCAGAGAUCUUUGUCGGCUAUGCUCGGCCUUGUCUCAGGAUGAGGACCUGAGCCCUAGGACCAUGCCUCAGGACUACCUAACAUGAUAACUCCUUGCUGUUCCCAGUCCAUCUGGCC
This is a long non-coding RNA of Oncorhynchus tshawytscha (Chinook salmon), 367 nucleotides long. The record is from Ensembl. NCBI's taxonomy places the organism in Eukaryota, Metazoa, Chordata, Actinopteri, Salmoniformes, Salmonidae.